GCUGGAAUCGCUAGUAAUCGCGGAUCAGAAUGCCGCGGUGAAUACGUUCCCGGGUCUUGUACACACCGCCCGUCACACCAUGGGAGUUGGAAAUGCCCGAAGUCAGUGGCCCAACCGGAAGGGGGAGCUGCCGAAGGCAGGUUCGAUGACUGGGGUGAAGUCGUAACAAGGUAAC
RNAcentral lists this ribosomal RNA (175 nucleotides) under uncultured bacterium. Its description in RNAcentral is "partial 16S ribosomal RNA". It matches the Rfam family "Bacterial small subunit ribosomal RNA", at positions 1325 to 1500 of the family's 1533-position model. The record is from RNAcentral.